GCUGAACUUAAGCAUAUCAAUAAGCGGAGGAAAAGAAACUAACAAGGAUUCCCCUAGUAACUGCGAGUGAAGCGGGAAAAGCUCAAAUUUAAAAUCUGAUAGUCUUUGGCUAUCCGAGUUGUAAUCUAGAGAAGCGUUAUCCGCGCUGGACCAUGUAUAAGUCUCCUGGAAUGGAGCGUCAUAGAGGGUGAGAAUCCCGUCUUUGACAUGGACUACCAGGGCAUUGUGAUGCGCUCUCAAAGAGUCGAGUUGUUUGGGAAUGCAGCUCUAAAUGGGUGGUAAAUUCCAUCUAAAGCUAAAUAUUGGGCGAGAGACCGAUAGCGAACAAGUACCGUGAGGGAAAGAUGAAAAGAACCUUGGAAAGAGAGUUAAACAGUACGUGAAAUUGUUGAAAGGGAAACGCUUGAAGUCAGUCACAUUGAUUAGGGAUCAGCCUUGCUUUUGCUUGGUGUACUUUCUAGUUAAUGGGUCAGCAUCAAUUUCGACCAGUGGAAAAAAGUCAGAAGAAUGUGACAUCUUCGGAUGUGUUAUAGCUUUUGAUUGUAUACAUUGGUUGGGAUUGAGGAACUCAGCAUGCCGCAAGGCCGGGUUUUACCACGUUCAUGCUUAGGAUGCUGGCAUA
RNAcentral lists this ribosomal RNA (622 nucleotides) under uncultured Basidiomycota. RNAcentral describes it as "LSU rRNA". It matches the Rfam family "Eukaryotic large subunit ribosomal RNA", at positions 27 to 633 of the family's 3401-position model. Lineage: Eukaryota; Fungi; Basidiomycota. The record is from RNAcentral.